UACGUAGGGUGCGAACGUUGUUCGGAAUCACUGGGCAUAAAGAGCGCGUAGGCGGUCUGAUAAGUCCUGUGUGAAAGCCCCCGGCUCAACCGGGGAAUUGCACUGGAUACUGUCGGGCUAGAGUACAGGAGGGGAGAGCGGAAUUCCUGGUGGAGCGGUGAAAUGCGUAGAUAUCAGGAGGAACGCCAGUGGCGAAAGCGGCUCUCUGGUCUGUUACUGACGCUGAGGUGCGAAAGCUAGGGGAGCAAACGGG
This 253-nucleotide ribosomal RNA is filed under the name uncultured bacterium. RNAcentral describes it as "partial 16S ribosomal RNA". It matches the Rfam family "Bacterial small subunit ribosomal RNA", at positions 524 to 776 of the family's 1533-position model. The record is from RNAcentral.